Molecule: ribosomal RNA, 511 nt
Filed under: uncultured bacterium
Lineage: Bacteria
Description: partial 16S ribosomal RNA
Rfam family: Bacterial small subunit ribosomal RNA
Source: RNAcentral
UGGGGAAUUUUGGACAAUGGGCGCAAGCCUGAUCCAGCAAUGCCGCGUGAGUGAAGAAGGCCUUCGGGUUGUAAAGCUCUUUUGUCAGGGAAGAAACGGUGGACUCUAAUACAGAUCACUAAUGACGGUACCUGAAGAAUAAGCACCGGCUAACUACGUGCCAGCAGCCGCGGUAAUACGUAGGGUGCAAGCGUUAAUCGGAAUUACUGGGCGUAAAGCGUGCGCAGGCGGUUGUGCAAGACAGAUGUGAAAUCCCCGGGCUCAACCUGGGAAUUGCAUUUGUGACUGCACGGCUAGAGUGUGUCAGAGGGGGGUAGAAUUCCACGGUGUAGCAGUGAAAUGCGUAGAGAUGUGGAGGAAUACGAUGGCGAAGGCAGCCCCUGGGAUAACACUGACGCUCAUGCACCGAAAGCGUGGGGAGCAAAACAGGAUUAGAUACCCUGGUAGUCCACGCCCUAAAACGAUGUCUACUAGUUGUCGGGACUUAAUUGUCUUGGUAACGCAGCUAACG